GGCCAGUUGGCUCAGUUGGGUUGAGCACGGUGCCAAUAGCAGCAAGGUUGUGGGUUCGAUUUCCAUACAGGCCA
Molecule: non-coding RNA, 74 nt
Organism: Podarcis lilfordi (Lilford's wall lizard)
Lineage: Eukaryota; Metazoa; Chordata; Lepidosauria; Squamata; Lacertidae
Source: the annotation of a GenBank genome assembly